Molecule: ribosomal RNA, 901 nt
Filed under: uncultured organism
Description: SSU rRNA
Rfam family: Bacterial small subunit ribosomal RNA
Source: RNAcentral
GUGCCAGCCGCCGCGGUAAUACGUAGGGUGCGAGCGUUGUCCGGAAUUACUGGGCGUAAAGAGCUCGUAGGUGGUUUGUCGCGUUGUUCGUGAAAUCUCACGGCUUAACUGUGAGCGUGCGGGCGAUACGGGCAGACUGGAGUUCUGCAGGGGAGACUGGAAUUCCUGGUGUAGCGGUGGAAUGCGCAGAUAUCAGGAGGAACACCGGUGGCGAAGGCGGGUCUCUGGGCAGUAACUGACGCUGAGGAGCGAAAGCUGGGGAGCGAACAGGAUUAGAUACCCUCGUAGUCCACGCCGUAAACGGUGGGUACUAGGUGUGGGUUUCCUUCCUUGGGAUCCGUGCCGUAGCUAACGCAUUAAGUACCCCGCCUGGGGAGUACGGCCGCAAGCUAAAACUCAAAGGAAUUGACGGGGGCCCGCACAAGCGGCGGAGCAUGUGGAUUAAUUCGAUGCAACGCGAAGAACCUUACCUGGGUUUGACAUGCACAGGACGCCGGCAGAGAUGUCGGUUCCCUUGUGGCCUGUGUGCAGGUGGUGCAUGGCUGUCGUCAGCUCGUGUCGUGAGAUGGUUGGGUUAAGUCCCGCAACGAGCGCAACCCUUUUCUCAUGUUGCCAGCGGGUAAUGCCGGGGACUCGUGAGAGACUGCUGGGGUCAACUCGGAGGAAGGUGGGGAUGACGUCAAGUCAUCAUGCCCCUUAUGUCCAGGGCUUCACACAUGCUACAAUGGCCGGUACAAAGGGCUGCGAUGCCGCGAGGUUAAGCGAAUCCUUUUAAAGCCGGUCUCAGUUCGGAUCGGGGUCUGCAACUCGACCCCGUGAAGUCGGAGUCGCUAGUAAUCGCAGAUCAGCAACGCUGCGGUGAAUACGUUCCCGGGCCUUGCACACACCGCCCGUCAAUCCC